UUUUUAGCUUGAGUGGUACAGUAUUCUAGUCAGCACAACUAUUCUAGAGGGCGGGGCUAAAAAUCCGUCGAAGGGCAUAUCGAUGAAGUUCUUUGUUUCGGCUUGCGACGCCCAGUCGUGGGUCCUUACAGGGAGUAAGAGGGAUGGGGCGAUCUGCAAUGGCAUGCAGGCGAUGACCCUACUCUCGUGGAGACAUGAUAUUCCAUAUUUUAAAAGACAUAUCAUGAUAAACCUGCUAUGUAUAUAUUACUAGAAGCAGAGUAGCCUGCCUUGAGUGAAGUAUGGCGGAUGAUAAGUUCAACUUGAGAUAUUAAAGGGCCCGAUAUAUCUUAAGUUCUGUUAUCGAAACCUAUUUUGCAAAAGAGGCUAAGGAAUAGAAUGGCUGCAGAGGAAAACUCCUAGACUGUUCUAAAAGAGGUAAGUUGUGGAUUACAGUGCGGACUAAGUGGCAAUCCAGUUUUAUCUUUGGCGACAAGAUGAUAAUAGAAUUAAAGGGAAACCGCUGUUAUGGCGACAGACAGUUUUUAUUAGGGAAAUCCUGCUGGACCUAAAGCCGUAAGAUUUACACAGUUUACUACCACUCUUAUA
RNAcentral lists this small RNA (588 nucleotides) under uncultured Tissierella sp. The record is from RNAcentral. Lineage: Bacteria; Bacillati; Bacillota; Tissierellia; Tissierellales; Tissierellaceae.